GCUUGUCUCAAAGAUUAAGCCAUGCAUGUCUAAGUAUAGUACCUUAUACUGCGAAACUGCGAAUGGCUCAUUAAAUCAGUUAUAAUUCAUUUGAUGGUACUUACUACUCGGAUAACCGUAGUAAUUCUAGAGCUAAUACAUGCAAAAAAACCCAGACUUACGAAUGGGUGCACUUAUUAGAUAAAGCCAACGCUGGGUAAAACCAGUUUCCCUUGGUGAUUCAUAAUAAUUAAGCGGAUCGCAUGGCCUUGUGCUAGCGACAGUCCACUCGAUUUUCUGCCCUAUCAUGGUUGAGAUUGUAAGAUAGAGGCUUACAAUGCCUACAACGGGUAACGGGGAAUUAGGGUUCGAUUCCGGAGAGGGAGCCUGAGAAACGGCUACCACAUCCAAGGAAGGCAGCAGG
This 403-nucleotide ribosomal RNA is filed under the name uncultured Mucor. RNAcentral's name for it is "partial small subunit ribosomal RNA". It matches the Rfam family "Eukaryotic small subunit ribosomal RNA", at positions 30 to 432 of the family's 1831-position model. The record is from RNAcentral. Lineage: Eukaryota; Fungi; Mucoromycota; Mucoromycetes; Mucorales; Mucoraceae.